CGCAUCUGUGCAUGCAGCAUAUCAAUAAGCGGAGGAAAAGAAACUAACAAGGAUUCCCCUAGUAACGGCGAGUGAAGCGGGAGAGCUCAAAUUUGAAAUCUUAAAGGGUUUCCCUUUACGAAUUGUAGUUUAAAGAAGUGUUUUCUGUUGAGGUUUUGGUAAAAGUUCUUUGGAAUAGGACAUCAUAGAGGGUGAGAAUCCCGUAUUUGACCUUUACUUUCAACUUUGUGAUACACUUUCAAAGAGUCGGAUUGUUUGGGAAUGCAGUCCAAAAUGGGUGGUAAAUUUCAUCUAAAGCUAAAUAUUGGCGAGAGACCGAUAGCGAACAAGUACCGUGAGGGAAAGAUGAAAAGAACUUUGAAAAGAGAGUUAAACAGUACGUGAAAUUGUCAAAAGGGAAGCGUUUGACACCAGUGUUGUUUUUCUGAAAAUCAAUUAAAGAACUGUUUAUGCUAAGUUGUUUAGACUUUAUCAGCUAACUGUUUAGUUUUGAGCUUUUCUUUAAUGCACUUUUCAGUUAACAAGUCAACAUCAAUUUCUUUUGCUGUAAAAAAGCUUGAGGAAGGUGGCUUGAGAUUCGUCUUAAGUGUUUAUAGCCUCUUGCCUAUGCAGUCGGAGAGAUUGAGGUCUGCAGCGUAGAUCCUUCGGGGCUAAAUGCAUUUGUGCUAAGUUAUAGCAUUUUAUAGACAACUUGUUGACUAUGAUUUGUCUUGUAGCUUACUCGCUUAUGUUAUUUUACCUACGCUUAGGAUGUUGACAGCAGUAUAGACUGU
RNAcentral lists this ribosomal RNA (773 nucleotides) under uncultured Neocallimastigales. RNAcentral's name for it is "partial large subunit ribosomal RNA". It matches the Rfam family "Eukaryotic large subunit ribosomal RNA", at positions 26 to 637 of the family's 3401-position model. The record is from RNAcentral. Lineage: Eukaryota; Fungi; Neocallimastigomycota; Neocallimastigomycetes; Neocallimastigales.